UACUUUCCCUCCGGUGCAUUGUGGCUUAUUCCGGGGGACGAGUAUUUCCGGCAAAGAUUCUCAAGAAAGAAGGCGGCAGAGUCUUGAACGGUAAGUUGUCUUUUCUCUCUUUUUAUUUUGUGGUUUGGUACAUAUAUAUAGUCCCUAACUAUUUAUAAGAUGCCCUUAAUCCUCUUCUUAUAAUGAUUAUGACUUUAAUCCUCUUGGUUUAAUUAUCAUUAAGCCAAUAGCGCCUAAGAUUAGGAUUUAGGACCAAGAUUAGAAGUUAAACUAUAAAAACAAGAAUGGUAAUUAUUUUCUCUCUGCAAGUUGAGUAUCACUAGAUGGGUUAAUCUCGAGUCUAUAGAGAAUAAAUUCUUAAUUACCGUAGCUGCACUGAUUUUUAAUUAUGUUUAUUUUAGCUCUCAAAGUGAUAAUCUUUGCAAUUUUUAAUGUCAAAUGUAAUUUGACCACUCGACAUGCUUAAUGCUGUAAUGUAAUCUUGGACUUUUUCUGUGCACGAAAACCUAAUAUAUGAUUGUGGAAAGAUCAUUUUAAUGGAUGGUAGGAGUAUCUUUUGGAUUGUUUUUAGAGUUAGUAUUGUUAGGAGGAUAAGAAAUUUAAGUUGUAUAAAAAUAGUUAAAAUAUCUUGUAAAUUGUAUAAAAAUUAGCAUAUCAGAAUAUGCUAUAAUGGCUCGAGUAGCUUUCCAUUUUGAUAGGGAAGGAUGCGAAAGAACACUAAUAAGUGAGAAAAAAAAAGUAAGAAAUUUUUUGACAUAUUUAUAUGUAUGUAUAUAUAUAUAUAUAUAUAUAUAUAUAUAUAUGAGAGAAUGUACAAUAGUAUGAUCUCAUAUAAUGAAAACUUUAAUUUUUUUAAUGGAAAAUAACACUUAAAAGUGAUAUUAUGUUUUUUUAUUAAUCUUUAAUUUUUUUUAAAAAAAUAUUUUUUUAAAAAAAUAUUUUAUAUUUAAAUAUUUAAAUAUUUUAUAAAUAUCACAUAUAUAUCUUUAAGUAUAGGGUGGAAAGAUGUGAUAAAACAUUUGAGUUCUUCUACAUUUUUUUCUCUAGUGGAUGAUUAUGUGAAAGUAUAUUAAAAAAAAGAAGCUUGAAUUGGGGUUUAUUUUAAAAAAAUUAUGUUUUGAGUUUUAUUCUUUCUUAAUGGGAUACUGUUAAAGUCACUAUGCUGUAGGUGCUCUAACGAGACGAGACGGGACUCGACCACUUCAACUAUGCAUAGAUCAAGCAUCAUCGAGCGAAAGCUUUCGGAUUACUAUCGUUGGACAGUAAGAAAAAGGAAGUCUUGCUCAAGUUAAGAUCACUCUGAUAUCA
Molecule: long non-coding RNA, 1308 nt
Filed under: Musa acuminata (dwarf banana)
Lineage: Eukaryota; Viridiplantae; Streptophyta; Magnoliopsida; Zingiberales; Musaceae
Description: long non-coding RNA (MACU_LNC006891)
Source: RNAcentral